RNAcentral lists this antisense RNA (75 nucleotides) under Streptomyces sp. 2323.1. RNAcentral's name for it is "ASpks TB sRNA". It matches the Rfam family "ASpks TB sRNA". Lineage: Bacteria; Bacillati; Actinomycetota; Actinomycetes; Kitasatosporales; Streptomycetaceae. The record is from RNAcentral.
CUUCACGGAACCCAGCCACAACGGCCGGUCCCGGUCGCGGUCCUGGCCGUAGGUGGCCAGGAGUGCCUGCGCCUC